GGGGUCACUAGCCUCCCCAUUGUGACUCGUUUGAGCUCUUAGCCAGGCGUGUAGUCUGGCGGGAGCCGUCGCGGCUGGCUCGGCAGCUCCAGGCUAUUCCGAGGAACAGUCUUCAGAGAGCCUGGGGUGCUGAUGGGGAAAAGCUGUUGCUGAGAUUUGACAAGUUUGGUCCUGAGAUGUCAGAAAGGAUUUCAGCUCUUCUGCCACCCCAAGGACGGUGGCGCGUAAAUCACAGUGAGCUGGCUUAUGUCAGGUCAACUGUGGAAUUUGAUCCUAGCGCAUUGCUCCCUCCUCUUCCUUGCCUGCGUCUCUCCCUCUCUCAGCUCUAGUUUGAGAUCAGCACAGAUUCCCUGGGUGAUUUUUGAGAAAACUGCCUCCUCUUUAGGACUUGGCAUCCCCUAACCUGCAUCAGGAAAGGGUGGCGACAGAUACUCUCACACCCAGGGAGGCUGCAAGGCCCACCCUCUACCCUCCACCUGGGUUCUCUGGCGUCGAGACUUGUGCCCUACAGUUCUGGGCCGUUGGGGUGAUGUCCCAGUGGGACCAGGGUGAGGGUGCAGGUAUCUGAGGGAGUAGUAGGACCAGAACCUCUAACCUUAGGGAGGCUUCCUGGGAGCCAAGCUUGGUGACUUAGAAUGUGAAUGUCUGACCCAUAUCCCACUACCUUUUGGUGGGUGCUGCAGAGGACAAUGGAGAGAGAGUCAACUCUGAAGAGUGGUCUUGUGGAAGAGGCAGCUGGCUGGUUCAGUGUGGCACUGGCAGCCUCCCUAAGGUUCCCAGGUAGAAGUUUCUGACAGGUAGAUUUCAGCUGUGUUUAAGGAAGAACUUUGAAGUUGUCAGAAUGAGCGGUCUUGUGAUAGUGAGCUCCCUGUCUCCAGAGGCAUGCAAGCAGGACACUUUCACAUAUGCAUUCAAGAUGACCUAUGCAAGGCGUUGUGCUAAGUGCUAGGAGUGCAGAGGAGAACGAGACCCAGUGGGGAAACAGGCACUUGCAAUGCUGCUGUGAGUGUGAGCAGAGAGGACAAUGAAUCCAGGCAGUGAUCCACCAAUGAUAACUAACAUCAUAAAAAGAUACAUGGCCGGAUAUGAUGUUCCUUCUGACGGAAGACCACAACACCUGCUGAAAAAUCAAAUCUGAAUCGGAUCAAGCCUCUAGAGGAGGCAGCACCCAGGGUCAUUCCUGGAGCAUAAACGAUCCCUGCAGAACAUGGGCUAGAAGACCCCACAGUGGGGCAGAGGCAGGUCCUGGACUGGGAUCCCAGCAGUGAGAAGACCUGGACAUCAACCCUAUUUCAUUGUGCCUCUGCAAAUCUCCCAACUUUUGGAGCUGUAGCUGCAAGCUCAGACUUGUGGUUUCCUGUACCUGGAGGAGGCCCAGGUCAUUCUGUUAAGUCCCUUGUCUAUUUCCUGCUUUUAUCUGGAUGCUGAGUUAAUUAUUUGAUCCAACAAUAAAACUAACAAGGUUUUA
Molecule: long non-coding RNA, 1468 nt
Organism: Homo sapiens (human)
Lineage: Eukaryota; Metazoa; Chordata; Mammalia; Primates; Hominidae
Product: long intergenic non-protein coding RNA 642
Source: Ensembl